This 260-nucleotide ribosomal RNA is filed under the name uncultured bacterium. RNAcentral's name for it is "partial 16S ribosomal RNA". It matches the Rfam family "Bacterial small subunit ribosomal RNA", at positions 524 to 782 of the family's 1533-position model. The record is from RNAcentral.
UACGUAGGGUGCGAGCGUUAAUCGGAAUUACUGGGCGUAAAGCGUGCGCAGGCGGUUCGACAAGUCUGAUGUGAAACUCCCGGGCUCAACCUGGGAACUGCGUUGGAAACUAGUCGGGCUAGAGUGUAGAAGAGGGGGUAGGAAUUCCGACGUGUAGCAGUGAAAUAGCGUAGAGAUGUGGAGGAAUACCGAUGGCGAAGGCAGCCCCUGGGCUAACACUGACGCUCAUGCNCGAAAGCUGGGGAGCAAACAGGAUUAGA